ACCGUAAACGAUGAGUGCUAGGUGUUAGGCCCUUUCCGGGGCUUAGUGCCGCAGCUAACGCAUUAAGCACUCCGCCUGGGGAGUACGAGCGCAAGGUUGAAACUCAAAGGAAUUGACGGGGGCCCGCACAAGCGGUGGAGCAUGUGGUUUAAUUCGAAGCAACGCGAAGAACCUUACCGAGUCUUGACAUCCCAGUGACCGCUCUAGAGAUAGAGUUUUUCUUCGGAACACUGGUGACAGGUGGUGCAUGGUUGUCGUCAGCUCGUGUCGUGAGAUGUUGGGUUAAGUCCCGCAACGAGCGCAACCCUUAUUGUUAGUUGCCAUCAUUCAGUUGGGCACUCUAGCGAGACUGCCGGUAAUAAACCGGAAGAAGGUGGGGAUGACGUCAAUCAUCAUGGCCCUUACGACCAGGGCUACACACGUGCUACAAUGGCGCAUACAAAGAGAAGCGACCUCGCGAGAGCAAGCGGACCUCAUAAAGUGUCGUCGUAGUCCGGAUUGGAGUCUGCAACUCGACUCCAUGAAGUCGGAAUCGCUAGUAAUCGUGGAUCAGAAUGCCACGGUGAAUACGUUCCCGGGCCUUGUACACACCGCCCGUCACACCA
This 605-nucleotide ribosomal RNA is filed under the name unidentified microorganism. Its description in RNAcentral is "bacterial SSU rRNA". It matches the Rfam family "Bacterial small subunit ribosomal RNA", at positions 799 to 1404 of the family's 1533-position model. The record is from RNAcentral.